AACGAACGCUGGCGGCAUGCCUAACACAUGCAAGUCGAACGAGACCUUCGGGUCUAGUGGCGCACGGGUGCGUAACGCGUGGGAACCUGCCCUUAGGUUCGGAAUAACUCCCCGAAAGGGGUGCUAAUACCGGAUAAUGUCUUCGGACCAAAGAUUUAUCGCCUUUGGAUGGGCCCGCGUUGGAUUAGCUAGUUGGUAGGGUAAAAGCCUACCAAGGCGACGAUCCAUAGCUGGUCUGAGAGGAUGAUCAGCAACACUGGGACUGAGACACGGCCCAGACUCCUACGGAAGGCAGCAGUGGGGAAUAUUGGACAAUGGGCGAAAGCCUGAUCCAGCAAUGCCGCGUGAGUGAUGAAGGCCUUAGGGUUGUAAAGCUCUUUUACCCGGGAUGAUAAUGACAGUACCGGGAGAAUAAGCUCCGGCUAACUCCGU
This 432-nucleotide ribosomal RNA is filed under the name uncultured bacterium. Its description in RNAcentral is "partial 16S ribosomal RNA". It matches the Rfam family "Bacterial small subunit ribosomal RNA", at positions 29 to 506 of the family's 1533-position model. The record is from RNAcentral.